GACAGAGGGUGCAAACGUUGUUCGGAAUUACUGGGCGUAAAGCGUGUGUAGGCGGUCUCUUAAGUCGGAUGUGAAAGCCCCGGGCUCAACCCGGGAAGUGCACUCGAAACUGGGAGGCUAGAGUACUGGAGAGGUUGGUGGAAUUCUCGGUGUAGAGGUGAAAUUCGUAGAUAUCGAGAGGAACACCGGUGGCGAAGGCGGCCAACUGGACAGAUACUGACGCUGAGACACGAAAGCGUGGGAGCAACAGGAU
RNAcentral lists this ribosomal RNA (253 nucleotides) under uncultured bacterium. RNAcentral describes it as "partial 16S ribosomal RNA". It matches the Rfam family "Bacterial small subunit ribosomal RNA", at positions 524 to 778 of the family's 1533-position model. The record is from RNAcentral.